AACGAACGCUGGCGGCAGGCCUAACACAUGCAAGUCGAACGCCGUAGCAAUACGGAGUGGCAGACGGGUGAGUAACGCGUGGGAACAUACCCCUCGGUUCGGAAUAACUCAGGGAAACUUGAGCUAAUACCGGAUACGUCCGAGGUUUUAAUCGGCCUUGGAGAAAGAUUUAUCGCCGGAGGAUUGGCCCGCGUCUGAUUAGCUUGUUGGUGAGGUAAUGGCUCACCAAGGCGACGACAGUAGCUGGUCUGAGAGGAUGAUCAGCCACAUUGGGACUGAGACACGGCCCGAAACUCCUACGGGAGGCAGCAGUGGGGAAUAUUGGAC
Molecule: ribosomal RNA, 327 nt
Filed under: uncultured bacterium
Lineage: Bacteria
Description: bacterial SSU rRNA
Rfam family: Bacterial small subunit ribosomal RNA
Source: RNAcentral